AAUGCCAAAAAUACUUCCUUCCCGGCCGCUAUCCAAAUACUCAUUGUAGCCAUACCAGCUGUGCCAUGUUUUGGCCUGAAGAAAGAUGUUCCGGCUGCAAUAUGAAUGUUUUGGUAAAGAAGUUUAUAAGGGAAACAGGAGUGGAGCCAACAAUUAUAUGGCUAAGCCCUAUUUAUUUAGAAGGACAAGGCAGCUCUUAGCCUCGGAGCCCGAAAAAGGAGGAAAGCGCGGCUGAAAAUUAAACAUCGAAGUGUUCCAUGAAAUUGCCCUCCCUGAUCCUAGUGACCCACCAGUUUGUCAUCACUGUGACUAACUCCUUCUUCCCAUGCUUGGAGGCAAUUUCGCACGCUGGAUGCUGCGCUCCGGCCAGGCUGAGCAGUGACUAUUUACAUAGAGCUAUGAUGUGGGAGAGUGAGGAGAGUGCUUUUCUAUGGCCAAGAUGAUUUGGAACAUUCCUUCGAACAGACGGAACGGGUGCCUAGCCAGGAGUAACAACGAGGGGAGACGACCAGCUGGACUGCACAUUCCGUGGCAGCAGGUCAGAAAUGAGAAAGAAUGAAUGGAGUGUGGGUGGGGGUUUGGGGGUGUCUAUUUCAAUCACACAGAAGAGACCCCAAGGUGGCAGGAGGUUCCAAACUGGGCUGACUGGCUUGUAUGCUUUGAAUCUGUUAGGCUACGUCUAGACUGCAAGCCUCUUUUGAAAAAGAGCAUCUAGACUACAACCAGUAUUUUUGAA
Molecule: non-coding RNA, 736 nt
Organism: Pelodiscus sinensis (Chinese soft-shelled turtle)
Lineage: Eukaryota; Metazoa; Chordata; Testudines; Trionychidae
Source: RefSeq, a predicted model, not a curated record